RNAcentral lists this long non-coding RNA (876 nucleotides) under Rattus norvegicus (Norway rat). RNAcentral's name for it is "long non-coding RNA NONRATT027990". The record is from RNAcentral. Lineage: Eukaryota; Metazoa; Chordata; Mammalia; Rodentia; Muridae.
CACAGCCCAGUGACAGUUCCAAGCUAGCAUGCUCAAGGACCCAGGUUCAAUCCCACCAUCACCACUGUAAUAGUAAUAAUGGCGAUGUACUCAGUUGUCCAUUAUUGUUAUUGUUAUUAUUACUAUGUGGACCACCUGCUGCAAUGUGAAUGAGCCUCAUUCAAUUGGCUACACGAUUGGCUAAUGUAGACACCAGCAUUCCCUGAAGAACUGGACCCUGCCGGCCGGCAGACACCCCGUAGACGGACCUGCAGCUGCAUCUUUUCCAUGCACAGAGGGGUUGGCAUUGUACCUAAAACCUUUGAGUUUUGCCUCAAGCAAAAUGUGUCAUGUAUAACGUUGGGGGUGGACAUGCUGGGUGUGCUGGGUGCUCUUCUUAUAUUAAAAUAUUUCACAAUUAAGAAAAAAUGAGGUGGUAUAAGCAAAGUAAACUAGAAAAAAAAUUAACUGGUCCAGUGGUCAGCACGUGACAGUGCUUAAGACAGAGGAACUGUCUGGGGCAGUAUGCUGGGUUGGAGGUAGGAGCCAUUGGGAAUGAAGAGCUACAGAGGAGGACAUGUUCCCAGGGGAGCAGUCAUGAAGCCAGAGUGGAGUUUGCUGCAGACCCUGGGAGCAGUGGGUAAGGCUGCUGUACAGACACAGGCACAGGGAGGUCAGGACUCAAGGACACAGUCCACACUGCUCGAGUCUCCCAGACAUCAUUUCUGUUCACUGAAAGGAAGCUAUUUGGAAAUGGUUAUUUCUAACUUUCCUCUGGUGAGAUUUAUCCCCUGGGUGCUCGCCCACACCAGAGGGAUUUGUGCUACUCAGAAAUAUACUGGGAUCCACGAUACCAGGGCUCCUGUCUGAUUUCAGGUGUGGCUCUCAGAGAAGGUC